Molecule: ribosomal RNA, 581 nt
Filed under: Pichia sp. H9Y8
Lineage: Eukaryota; Fungi; Ascomycota; Pichiomycetes; Pichiales; Pichiaceae
Description: eukaryotic LSU rRNA
Rfam family: 5.8S ribosomal RNA (bases 182-335)
Source: RNAcentral
GCGCUUAUUGCGCGGCGAAAAACCUUACACACAGUGUUUUUUGUUAUUACAAGAACCUUUCGCUUUGGUCUGGACUAGAAAUAGUUUGGGCCAGAGGUUUACUGAACUAAACUUCAAUAUUUAUAUUGAAUUGUUAUUUAUUUAAUUGUCAAUUUGUUGAUUAAAUUCAAAAAAUCUUCAAAACUUUCAACAACGGAUCUCUUGGUUCUCGCAUCGAUGAAGAACGCAGCGAAAUGCGAUAAGUAAUAUGAAUUGCAGAUUUUCGUGAAUCAUCGAAUCUUUGAACGCACAUUGCGCCCUCUGGUAUUCCAGAGGGCAUGCCUGUUUGAGCGUCAUUUCUCUCUCAAACCUUCGGGUUUGGUAUUGAGUGAUACUCUUAGUCGAACUAGGCGUUUGCUUGAAAUGUAUUGGCAUGAGUGGUACUGGAUAGUGCUAUAUGACUUUCAAUGUAUUAGGUUUAUCCAACUCGUUGAAUAGUUUAAUGGUAUAUUUCUCGGUAUUCUAGGCUCGGCCUUACAAUAUAACAAACAAGUUUGACCUCAAAUCAGGUAGGAUUACCCGCUGAACUUAAGCAUAUCAAA